This is a long non-coding RNA of Pseudophryne corroboree (corroboree frog), 264 nucleotides long. RefSeq lists it as uncharacterized. The transcript has 3 exons. Lineage: Eukaryota; Metazoa; Chordata; Amphibia; Anura; Myobatrachidae. The record is from RefSeq and is a predicted model, not a curated record.
ACAGAGUAUAUGUGUAAUCACAGUGGCUGAAUGUCCUUUUUGAGAUCCUGCAGCUGUUGACCCUGAGUGGGAGAAUGCCUUAUCCAGGUGUAGUCUUGUGCACACCUUUCCAGACCCAUAGCAGUGGUUUGGUUGCAGAGCUGUGAUUAUAUGGACAUUCUCCACACUUGGUAUACAGCAGUUCAGACAUGCAGCCCCAUUGGAAUGUGCUGAUAGAGAUAUACUUUUAAUUAUUCGGCUUCAUUAUAUUAUGAUUGGAUUUGA